Pseudophryne corroboree (corroboree frog) is the source of this 108-nucleotide small nuclear RNA. The record is from RefSeq and is a predicted model, not a curated record. Lineage: Eukaryota; Metazoa; Chordata; Amphibia; Anura; Myobatrachidae.
GCACCUAGAUGGUGGUCGGUUCAUGUACUGAAAUUGGAACAAUCCAAGGAAGAUUAGCAUGGCCCUGCACAAGGAUGCCACGCAAAUCGUGAAGCGUUCCAUAUUUUC